AUUGAACGCUGGCGGCAGGCCUAACACAUGCAAGUCGAGCGAGCGGCGGACGGGUGAGUAAUGUAUGGGGACUGCCCGAUAGAGGGGGAUAACUACUGGAAACGGUAGCUAAUACCGCAUACUAUCGGAUAACCCAUAUGGGAUUAGCUCGUUGGUGGGGUAAUGGCUCACCAAGGCGACGAUCCCUAGCUGGUCUGAGAGGAUGAUCAACCACACGGGAACUGAGACACGGCCCAGACUCCUACGGAGGCAGCAGUGGGGAAUAUGGCACAAUGGGCGCAAGCCGGAUGCAGCCAUGCCGCGUGGAUGAAGAAGGCCCUAGGGUUGUAAAGUACUUUCAGUGGGGAGGCGUUACCGGCAGAAGAAGCACCGGCUAACUCCGUGCCAGCAGCCGCGGUAAUUC
This 403-nucleotide ribosomal RNA is filed under the name uncultured bacterium. RNAcentral describes it as "partial 16S ribosomal RNA". It matches the Rfam family "Bacterial small subunit ribosomal RNA", at positions 30 to 526 of the family's 1533-position model. The record is from RNAcentral.